This is a long non-coding RNA of Spinacia oleracea (spinach), 991 nucleotides long. RefSeq lists it as uncharacterized. The record is from RefSeq and is a predicted model, not a curated record. NCBI's taxonomy places the organism in Eukaryota, Viridiplantae, Streptophyta, Magnoliopsida, Caryophyllales, Amaranthaceae. The transcript has 5 exons.
UGGAAAAAACCCCUGUUGUAGCCCCCUUGUUGAGGGGGGCAUAUAUAAGUGGGCCUCAACAACCACUUAGUCAACACGGGUCAAAAAAUUUACUAACAGGUUGGGGCGGGCUUUUUUAGAGUUCGCUUCAAUAGAACUUGUUGGAGGGGGCUUUAUAUUGCCCGCCUCAAUAGAUACUAGUCUAAAGGGGCGGGCUUUGUUUUGUUCGCUUUAACCGAUAUUCACGAAAUUUAAAACAAUAAAAACAUAGCUUCUCAUCGCCAAACCGAUAAAACAAUCCCUUCAAAUCUCUAUAUUCAAACAAAGCAAGUACGCUUCUAGUGCAAUCUGCAGGCGAGUUCGCACCGCUCCUCACCGCGCGCCUCCACCACCACCACCACCUUCCUCGCCUCCUCUUCCAUAGUAGUCGCCCCCGACCGUCGUCUUCCCUAUCUCGGUUGACUCUGUUUCACACAGUGACGCAAUCUGUCAAGUUUUUGGCUAUGAGCCUCAUUCGGUGUUGCCAAUUGGUGUUGUUUCUCUUGCUGAUCUUACAGUUUUUCUUCCUUUCUCGAAAAUUAACGUCUUUGCUAGUACUGUUGUUACAGUUGUAUCAUAGUGCCUGGUGGAGUACAAGAGACGUUCCAUAUGGAGCAUGGCUCUGAGCUUGUUUUGAGUACUGGAAGCGGUGUUAAUGGUUUCACUCUAGAUCCAUCUCUUGGAGUGUAUAUUUUAACUCAUCCAGACAUCAAGGGAUCGAGUCGAUUGGAAGAAAGUCAACACGGCCUUAAUUAAGGUUUGUAAUGCAUGAUCUAAAGGGAGCUAAGUGGCCAGAUUAGAGAAAUUUGUUAGACUAGCUCUCUAGCCUUUUGUCUUUAUUUGUUAAUAUUAGUUUUAAUUUGUUAGACUAGCUAGCUAGGUGUUUAAAAAUUGUAAACGUACGUACUAUACGCUUUUCUCUAUUGGGUUAAUAUAAAUGAAGUUAAUUUAAUGAUUUAUUAAUAAAAAAUAA